This 741-nucleotide long non-coding RNA is filed under the name Ananas comosus (pineapple). RNAcentral's name for it is "long non-coding RNA (ACOM_LNC012379)". Lineage: Eukaryota; Viridiplantae; Streptophyta; Magnoliopsida; Poales; Bromeliaceae. The record is from RNAcentral.
AAGAAAAGUUUAGUUUUUAGACAGAUUAUAUGAGUAUUUCUGAUAAUUUUGAAGAUUAGAAGAAUAUUUUUGAUAUUAACACUUUUAGAUGGAUUUUAUGUAAUUAAGGUUGUGCACGUGAAAUUAUCCUUUUAAUAUAUGUAUUGAGUAAAAAAAGAAAUGAACGGUGCAUAUCUAUAAUCUAUAAAUCUAUAAUCUAUCUACAAACAUAUAUUAUUUCCCAAUAAUUUUGCUGACGUGGCGCAACAUUCUUGCUUUGAGAAUUUUUUUUUCUCAUUUAGAUAGCUUGCUUACCCUCUCUCUCUAUGUAACUCCCAUGUCCCCCGUCUUCUCUUUCCCUUCCUGUGUCACUUCGUUUUCCUCCUCUUUAUAACUCCUCAUUCUUUUCCACAGCCACCAUAUUCUCUUUUUCUCUCUAUAUAACUCCUAUGUCCUUCCUUCUUCCCUUCUUCUCCCCGCGUCCCUCCGUCUUCCCCCUGCCAUGACUCUCCAUUCUUCUCUAACCACUACGAGUCUUUGCAAAAGAGAUACUACACAUCAUUUUUAAUCCAAAUCCUUACAAUGUUCAAUCGAACGAUUGAUAUAAACCGAUCAUUUCCUCAUCAAUAUAUCCAAUGGUCGAGAUCAUACGAGAUUUGUUGGCACUUUUUCCACACGCUCUCUAUAAACCCUCUCUACUUUAUCUCUCACACUCCUUUUAGGAUUUCUGCCUCUUUUGUACCCUGAAGCUAUACUCAAAGC